AUGAUGAUGAGUUCCAUUUCCAAGUACCUGUCACUGAGUGCAGCUGUGAUCUUGCUUCUAGUACUGACAGCCACAGAGGCUGAAGGCAUCCGGCUAGACGCAGAGACCCGGGAAUCCAUCAGCAGCGGCGGCGGCAACCCAGUGCUCAAUAAACCAAUUGACGAUGUGGCUAAGAGUUCUGCUGGAUCAGCAGGCGAGACGACGAGAACAGCCGGUGCUGUGAGCCAAGUUAAGGCGGUGGCCCAUGGAUUGCCAGAGUUCCAGGAAGACUAUUAUGUUCCAAGUGUUCACAGCCCUAGGCACCACUGA
RNAcentral lists this ribosomal RNA (309 nucleotides) under Triticum aestivum (bread wheat). Its description in RNAcentral is "partial small subunit ribosomal RNA". The record is from RNAcentral. Lineage: Eukaryota; Viridiplantae; Streptophyta; Magnoliopsida; Poales; Poaceae.